Long non-coding RNA from Cuculus canorus (common cuckoo), 421 nucleotides. RefSeq lists it as uncharacterized. The record is from RefSeq and is a predicted model, not a curated record. The transcript is spliced from 3 exons. NCBI's taxonomy places the organism in Eukaryota, Metazoa, Chordata, Aves, Cuculiformes, Cuculidae.
UUUGGAAACAGCCUGUCUUCCACAGAGAGUGAUAUAAGAGAUAUAGUUAAACUUGGUAACCCUUCAUGUGAUCUGCGCUGAAGCCAAAGUGAGCUUACACUGUAACAUUGAGUCGUAUAGCUCUUUAUCAGGAAUUCCUAAGGAUGAACUCCUUGCUCAUCAGAAAAAAUGCCGGAAAAGCUGUCCGAAGGGUCCCUCUUCCUCUGCCAGAACAGUGAAUGCGAGUAAUAAAGGAAAUAAGUUGAUUGUUUUGGUUUUGGCACUCAGAUGGCCUCUCCUAUGCAAGGAGGCCCUAGCUUUGCUCUACCUGCCACAGUCUGAAUACCUGCCAUACUACUUCCAACCAGAAUGGCAUCACCAAAAACUCAAGAUGAGUGCUGUCAUUCUGUGUGUUGUCAUUCUGCUUCCCUUCAAGCAGAAU